Molecule: long non-coding RNA, 280 nt
Organism: Etheostoma cragini (Arkansas darter)
Lineage: Eukaryota; Metazoa; Chordata; Actinopteri; Perciformes; Percidae
Exons: 2
Source: RefSeq, a predicted model, not a curated record
AACAUGGUUUUGACCAAUAAUUGUGUCAGGCUGUGAGAAAUCCAAGCCAAAAUCAUCAAUGAUGACCAUAUUUUCAAUAACAUCCAAUGCUCUGUCAACAUUAGGUUGAAUCCUCAAGGAAUGUAAAAUAUACAUGAAGCAACUGUAACGGGUACCAUUUGACAGAAAUUCAGAGAGUGAAACAUCUGCUCGAUGAGCAUGUGGAGAGAGUCUUGCAAAUGGUUGCUGCAGACAUUUAACAUGAAUUAAUAUAUGUGGAUGAGCCUGGCUUUCUUCUUGC